Molecule: ribosomal RNA, 3268 nt
Filed under: Alphaproteobacteria bacterium
Lineage: Bacteria; Pseudomonadati; Pseudomonadota; Alphaproteobacteria
Description: 23S ribosomal RNA
Rfam family: Bacterial large subunit ribosomal RNA
Source: RNAcentral
AUCAGGUAAGAUAGGAAGGGCGUUUAACGGAUGCCUUGGCACCAAGCGGCGAUGAAGGACGUGAUACGCGACGAAAUGCUACGGGGAGGAGCGAAAGACCUAUGAUCCGUAGAUCUCCGAAUGGGGAAACCCAUAUUUUUAGUUUGGAUUGAAUGAAUUUGAGCGUUAGCUUCAGAUAUUUAGAAUUUUUUUUCCUCGAGUAGAUCUACUACACUGCGGAAAAAAAUUCCAAAUCUCUUUGCUACCAUCUCAAAUUCAUUCAAUCCAAGUCUAAAAAUAUACUCUUCGUUUACGAAGAGAGCGAACCUGGAGAACUGAAACAUCUAAGUACCCAGAGGAAAGGAAAUCAAAAGAGACUCCGAAAGUAGUGGCGAGCGAAAUCGGACCAGGCCGCACCAUAGAGUGCGCUUAUAAAGUUAAGAACUGGAAUGUGUUGGGAAGCACAGCGAUACAGGGUGACAGCCCCGUACAGGUAGAAAGAUUUUAUAAGAGUGAGUAGAGCGGGACACGAGAAAUCCUGUUUGAACAUGGGGGGACCAAUCCUCCAAGCCUAAGUACGUCUUGGUGACCGAUAGUGAACAAGUACCGUGAGGGAAAGGUGAAAAGAACCCCGAGAAGGGGAGUGAAAUAGACCUGAAAUUGGACGCCUACAAGCACUCAGAGCUACAGCUUGCUGUAGUGAUGGGGUACCUUUUGUAUAAUGAGUCAGCGAGUUUAUAUUGCAAGCAAGCCUAAGCCGUUAGGUGUAAGCGAAGCGAAAGCGAGUUUUAAUAGAGCGCCAUAGUUUGCAGUAUAAGACCCGAAACCGGGCGAUCUAGCCAUGAGCAGGUUGAAGAUUUGGUAAGACGAAUUGAGGACCGAACCCACUGAUGUUGCAAAAUCAGGGGAUGACUUGUGGUUAGGAGUGAAAGGCUAAUCAAGCUCGGAAAUAGCUGGUUCUCCGCGAAAACUAUUGAGGUAGUGCGCCUUGAUAUAAGCACCAGGGGUAGAGCACUGAAUGGGCUAGGGGGAGUCACAUCUUACCAAACCCAAUUAAACUCCGAAUACUGGUGUGGCAGGCAAGGUAGUCACACUGCGGGAGCUAACUUCCGUAGUGGAGAGGGAAACAACCCAGACCAACAGCUAAGGUCCCUAAGUGAUCACUAAGUGGAAAAGGAAGUGAAGACGCCAAGACAGCGAGGAAGUUGGCUUAGAAGCAGCCAUCUUUUAAAGAAAGCGUAACAGCUCACUCGUCUAGAUAAGUGUUUUUGCGCCGAAAAUGUAACGGGGCUCAAGUGAUCCACCGAAGCUUUGGGUUUUUUAGAUCUUAAUGUAAUGUUAUAUACAUCAUGUAUCAAAAAUGCCACAAUACAAAAAAACAUCAACACAGUAUGAAGAACAAUGAAAAUCUUAGAUACACUCUAUGACAUGACCAAACGCAUUAUUCAAGAACAGAAUAAUGAUAGGGUUAUGAAUGAACUAAGAACAACAUUACUAGAAGCCUUAAAGCAGUUCAAUCGCUUUAAUGCAAAACUAGGACGCAAAGAAGCUCUUGAAGCAGCCAUCAUAUCUAUUGAUGAUGCUAAGAUUCUUCUUAAACUCUGUGUGGAGUUAAAAUGCAUCACGUACGAUUCUUACAAAACCUAUGAAGAAAACCUUCAAGGUUUGGUUAAGAUGAUGGUGGCAGAAAAGAACAUUAUGUUUGGAUCUAAAAAAGCGGUAGCGGAGCGUUCUCUAGGCCGAUGAAGGUCACUCGUUAGAGGGGCUGGAGGUAUGAGAAGUGAAAAUGCUGACAUAAGUAACACAAAUCGUGUGAGAAACACGAUCGCCGAAAAUCCAAGGGUUCCUACGCGAUAAUAAUUAGCGUGGGGUGAGUCGGCCCCUAAGGCGUAUGCGAAAGCAAAAGUCGAUGGAAAUCAGGUUAAUAUUCCUGAACCCAGUAUUCGUGACGAAUACCGUAACUUGUUCCUGCUUAAUGGAUUGUUGGGGGCAAGGAAGGUGUUCCAGGAAAUAGCGAAUACAAUAAAUGGACCGUACCCUAAACCGACACUGGUGGAUACGUAGAGUAUACGAAGGCGAUGAGAAAAUGGUGUUGAAGGAACUCGGCAAAAUGCCCUUGUAACUUCGGAAGAAAAGGGACCUAUCCCUGCGCAAGCAGAGGUAGGUGGCACAGAAUAGGGAGUGGCGACUGUUUAGCAAAAACACAGGACUCUGCAAACACGAAAGUGGACGUAUAGGGUCUGACGCCUGCCCGGUGCUGGAAGGUUAAAAGGAGGUGUGAAAGCUCCGAAUUGAAGCCCCAGUAAACGGCGGCCGUAACUAUAACGGUCCUAAGGUAGCGAAAUUCCUUGUCGGGUAAGUUCCGACCUGCAUGAAUGGCGUAACGACUUCUCCGCUGUCUCCAACACCAACUCAGUGAAAUUGAAUUCUCCGUGAAGAUGCGGAGUACCUGCGGUUAGACGGAAAGACCCCGUGCACCUUAACUACAGCUUUACAGUGGUAUUGUUUGUGUUAUGUGUAGGAUAGGUGGGAGGCUUUGAAGCGUGAGCGCCAGCUUGCGUGGAGCCAUCCUUGAAAUACCACCCUUAACAUAAGCGAUAUCUAACCAUGACCUAUUGUCUGGGACCCUGUAUGGUGGGUAGUUUGACUGGGGCGGUCGCCUCCGAAAGAGUAACGGAGGCGUGCGAAGGUAGGCUCAGAUUGGUCAGAAAUCAAUCGGUGAGUGUAAUGGCAAAAGCCUGCCUGACUGCGAGACCCACAAGUCGAGCAGAGACGAAAGUCGGUCAUAGUGAUCCGGUGGCACUGUAUGGAAGGGCCAUCGCUCAACGGAUAAAAGGUACGCCGGGGAUAACAGGCUUAUCUCCCCAAGAGUCCACAUCGACGGGGAGGUUUGGCACCUCGAUGUCGGCUCAUCACAUCCUGGGGCUGUAGAAGGUCCCAAGGGUUUGGCUGUUCGCCAAUUAAAGUGGUACGUGAGCUGGGUUCAGAACGUCGUGAGACAGUUUGGUCCCUAUCUGCCGUAGGAAUUAGGAUGAUUGAAAGGAGUUGUUCUCAGUACGAGAGGACCGGAAUGAACAUACCUCUGGUGUACCAGUUGUCGUGCCAACGGCAGCGCUGGGUAGCUACAGUAUGGACGGGAUAACCGCUGAAAGCAUCUAAGCGGGAAGCCUCCCUUAAUACGAAUCAUCCCUAUGAGGGUCGUGGAAGACUACCACGUUGAUAGGCGGGAAAUGGAAGCAUGGUAACAUGUGUAGUUCACCCGUACUAAUAACCCCAUUGGCUUAUCUGA